ACAAGCGGCGGAGCAUGCGGAUUAAUUCGAUGCAACGCGAAGAACCUUUACCAAGGCUUGACAUCCCGAUGCUAUUUCUAGAGAUAGAAAGUUACUUCGGUACAUCGGUGACAGGUGGUGCAUGGUUGUCGUCAGCUCGUGUCGUGAGAUGUUGGGUUAAGUCCCGCAACGAGCGCAACCCCUAUUGUUAGUUGCCAUCAUUCAGUUUGGGCACUCUAGCGAGACUGCCGGUAAUAAACCGGAGGAAGGUGGGGAUGACGUCAAAUCAUCAUGCCCCUUAUGACCUGGGCUACACACGUGCUACAAUGGUUGGUACAACGAGUUGCGAGUCGGUGACGGCGAGCUAAUCUCUUAAAGCCAAUCUCAGUUCGGAUUGUAGGCUGCAACUCGCCUACAUGAAGUCGGAAUCGCUAGUAAUCGCGGAUCAGCACGCCGCGGUGAAUACGUUCCCGGGCCUU
RNAcentral lists this ribosomal RNA (458 nucleotides) under uncultured Streptococcus sp. Its description in RNAcentral is "bacterial SSU rRNA". It matches the Rfam family "Bacterial small subunit ribosomal RNA", at positions 925 to 1382 of the family's 1533-position model. Lineage: Bacteria; Bacillati; Bacillota; Bacilli; Lactobacillales; Streptococcaceae. The record is from RNAcentral.